RNAcentral lists this long non-coding RNA (417 nucleotides) under Brassica rapa (field mustard). RNAcentral's name for it is "long non-coding RNA (BRAP_LNC007907)". The record is from RNAcentral. Lineage: Eukaryota; Viridiplantae; Streptophyta; Magnoliopsida; Brassicales; Brassicaceae.
AUAUACAUGAUUAGUUGAUUGAUAAAUAAAUAAUAAUUUGUGGGAGUGGAAGAGAGAAGCUUGGUGGAUGCGCGUGCAGCUCUCUAUUUGUGGAAUUGUGGUCAUAGUGCUUACUGCUAUCUUAGACCAUCCGCAUCGAAAUAUCAAUAGGAAAUUUCACCCGAUUUUCGAGAAGAAAAAAUAUUAAAAUAAUUGAAUUUUAAUGAACCCAGUUCGUGCAGAUUUGCCGGAGUGAUACCGUUUCGUUACUGUUCUGUGGGCCCCACGACACGUGGCGGCCGCGAUAGGUUCGUUUAUAUAUAUAUAUAUAUUUUAAAAGUGAAACAAAAAAAAAUUAAAAUAAUAAAAAAAAAACAUUAGAAAUCGGGAAUCAUCAGUUCGCUGCUGCUCAUGCUCUUAACCCUUAACCAUUCCUCC